UCUUCCUUAUGGAGGCGAAAGGCUGAGUAACACGUAGGUAAUCUGCCUUCAGGUGGAAAAUAACCUCGGGAAACUGAGGAUAAUGUUCCAUAGUUUUUGAAUACUGGAAUGUUUCAAAAACAAAAGCUUCGGCGCCUGAAGAUGAGCCUGCGACCUAUCAGGCUGUUGGUGGGGUAACGGCCCACCAAACCAUUGACGGGUAGGGGCAGUGAGAGCUGGAGCCCUCAGAUGGGUACUGAGACACGGACCCAAGCCCUACGGGGUGCAGCAGGCGCGAAACCUUCGCAAUGCACGCAAGUGUGACGAGGGGAUCCCAAGUGUUAUUGCUUAUUGCAAUAACUUUUCUUCAGCGUAAAGAACUUAAGGAAUAAGGGCUGGGAAAGACAGGUGCCAGCAGCCGCGGUAAUACCUGCAGCUCAAGUGGUCUGGACUUUUAUUGGGUCUAAAGCGUUCGUAGCUGGGUUCAUAAGUUCUCUGUGAAAUCUGACAGCUUAACUGUCAGUAGGGCAGAGGAUACUAUGGACCUUGAGACUGGGAUGGGUCAAGGGUACUCUCGGGGUAGGGGUGAAAUCCAAUAAUCCUGAGGGGACCACCUGUGGCGAAGGCGCUUGGCUAGAACAGGUCUGACAGUGAGGGACGAAAGCUAGGGUAGCGAACGGGAUUAGAUACCCCGGUAGUCCUAGCCGUAAAUGAUGUAUACUUGGUGUUGCAUUCCUCUAGAGGGUAUGCAGUGCCGAAGGGAAGCCGUU
This 749-nucleotide ribosomal RNA is filed under the name uncultured archaeon. RNAcentral describes it as "bacterial SSU rRNA". It matches the Rfam family "Archaeal small subunit ribosomal RNA", at positions 58 to 816 of the family's 1478-position model. The record is from RNAcentral.